GACAAACGCUGGUGGUGUGCCUAAUACAUGCAAGUCGAACGAGAAAGUCCCUUCGGGGGCGAGUAAGGUGGCGAACGGGUGAGUAACGCGUAGAUAACAUGCCUUUAGAUGGGGGAUAGCCAACCGAAAGGGUGGAUAAUACCGCAUAAGACCACAGUAUCUGUGGAUACAGGGGUCAAAGAUUUAUUGUCUAGAGAUUGGUCUGCGUCCGAUUAGCUUGUUGGUAGGGUAAAAGCCUACCAAGGCUAGGAUCGGUAGCUGGUCUGAGAGGAUGAUCAGCCACACUGGGACUGAGACACGGUCCAGACUCCUACGGGAGGCAGCGGUGGGGAAUAUUGGACAAUGGGCGCAAGCCUGAUCCAGCCAUACCGCGUGGGUGAAGAAGGCCUUCGGGUUGUAAAGCCCUUUUGUUGGGAAAGAAAUCCAGCCGGCUAAUACCUGGUUGGGAUGACGGUACCCAAAGAAUAAGCACCGGCUAACUUCGUGCCAGCAGCCGCGGUAAUACGAAGGGUGCAAGCGUUACUCGGAAUUACUGGGCGUAAAGCGUGCGUAGGUGGUCGUUUAAGUCCGUUGUGAAAGCCCUGGGCUCAACCUGGGAACUGCAGUGGAUACUGGGCGACUAGAGUGUGGUAGAGGUAGCGGAAUUCCUGGUGUAGCAGUGAAAUGCGUAGAGAGGCAGCUACCUGGACCAACACUGACACUGAGGCACGA
Molecule: ribosomal RNA, 711 nt
Filed under: uncultured Gammaproteobacteria bacterium
Lineage: Bacteria; Pseudomonadati; Pseudomonadota; Gammaproteobacteria
Description: bacterial SSU rRNA
Rfam family: Bacterial small subunit ribosomal RNA
Source: RNAcentral